Long non-coding RNA from Dreissena polymorpha, 826 nucleotides. RefSeq lists it as uncharacterized. The transcript is spliced from 3 exons. Lineage: Eukaryota; Metazoa; Mollusca; Bivalvia; Myida; Dreissenidae. The record is from RefSeq and is a predicted model, not a curated record.
AGGUCCAAAGGUCGCAACCGUCAUAUCCUGAGACAUGUGAGACUUGUCAGCAAAAAUAGCGAACCCGAUCAUAAGGAAUAGCCCUUGAACAAGAGGAAACAACACAAUAUCGAGGCGGACCUGUCAACUAUAUGAAAACAAAUCGCAUCUGUAUACAUACCAGCUACAGCUGCCAGACAAAUGCUGGCGUACAUGACCAGUCGGUUGUCCCUCGCACAGAACACGUGCACGCCAGUCAUCGCAGUGGCACCUACCAUGGCGAACAGUCCGAGCAAAACCAUCGCGCGUAUUGCGUGCAAAAAUCCUUGAACUAAAUAACAAUAACGUAUGUUAGUCCCAAGCUGGUGAGAACUAGCUAGUUCUUUAAGACUACACACAUCUACGUUUUAGCAAUAUAUUGUAGGGAACGUACUAGACGAAAACAGUUUAAUCUAACGACAUUUAAUGCUAGGAGAAGAUAAGAAAACAGUAAUGAAAGACUGCCACUUAUGUUUCAAUAUAUAUUAAACAAACCAAAAAAUGUUAACGUUGUAAUGUUAAAUACCUGCGCUUGCUGGAUAAGUAACACAAAUGUCAUCAAUACACCCUUGCCACAGACCCGCGCUAACAGAAAGAGUGCCUGCAACGACCCAGUCGGCCAGAGCCAAUGCCAGUAUUGCAAAGAUGACACUAAGACAGCUAAAUCCAAAGAUGAUCAACAUUCCAAUAUCACUGUUACACAUAAUGGGUAACCUGUAUUUUUUCAAAGAUAGGUAAAGCACACAUUCGCACAUUUAACUAUUGGUCACAUUGUUUUAAUUCAAUAGCGUAUCAAGAUAUAAAGGGC